GGCCAACAAUGAAAUAUAAGGAUGAUGUUUUUGUAUGAUAUCUUUGAUUACAGAACCAUUUUGCCUUCCUUCUGAGGCC
Molecule: non-coding RNA, 79 nt
Organism: Zea mays
Lineage: Eukaryota; Viridiplantae; Streptophyta; Magnoliopsida; Poales; Poaceae
Source: Rfam